UUGGACGCAAGGGCUUCACCCGUGA
RNAcentral lists this non-coding RNA (25 nucleotides) under Mus musculus (house mouse). The record is from RNAcentral. Lineage: Eukaryota; Metazoa; Chordata; Mammalia; Rodentia; Muridae.